UCCUGGCUGGUUCAGUCAGUAGAGCAUAAGACUCUUGAUCUUUGGGUGGUGAGUUCAAGCCCCAUGUUGGGUG
RNAcentral lists this transfer RNA (73 nucleotides) under Canis lupus familiaris (dog). It matches the Rfam family "tRNA". Rfam says of the family: Transfer RNA (tRNA) molecules are approximately 80 nucleotides in length. Their secondary structure includes four short double-helical elements and three loops (D, anti-codon, and T loops). RNAcentral also lists the same sequence under 1 other name. Lineage: Eukaryota; Metazoa; Chordata; Mammalia; Carnivora; Canidae. The record is from Rfam by way of RNAcentral.